AAUAGAUACCCGGGUAGUCCAUGCCGUAAACGUUGGGAACUAGAUGUGGGGACCAUUCCACGGUCUCCGUGUCGCAGCUAACGCAUUAAGUUCUCCGCCUGGGGAGUACGGCCGCAAGGCUAAAACUCAAAGGAAUUGACGGGGGCCCGCACAAGCGGCGGAGCAUGCGGAUUAAUUCGAUGCAACGCGAAGAACCUUACCAAGGCUUGACAUAUACGAGAACGCCGUAGAAAUACGGAACUCUUUGGACACUCGUAUACAAGUGGUGCAUGGUUGUCGUCAGCUCGUGUCGUGAGAUGUUGGGUUAAGUCCCGCAACGAGCGCAACCCUCGUCGUAUGUUGCCAGCACGUAAUGGUGGGAACUCAUAUGAGACUGCCGGGGUCAACUCGGAGGAAGGUGGGGAUGAGGUCAAAUCAUCAUGCCCCUUAUGUCUUGGGCUUCACGCAUGCUACAAUGGCCGGUACAAAGGGCUGCAAUACCGCGAGGUGGAGCGAAUCCCAAAAAGCCGGUCUCAGUUCGGAUUGAGGUCUGCAACCG
RNAcentral lists this ribosomal RNA (538 nucleotides) under uncultured bacterium. RNAcentral's name for it is "bacterial SSU rRNA". It matches the Rfam family "Bacterial small subunit ribosomal RNA", at positions 777 to 1313 of the family's 1533-position model. The record is from RNAcentral.